This 476-nucleotide ribosomal RNA is filed under the name uncultured bacterium. RNAcentral's name for it is "partial 16S ribosomal RNA". It matches the Rfam family "Bacterial small subunit ribosomal RNA", at positions 28 to 523 of the family's 1533-position model. The record is from RNAcentral.
GACGAACGCUGGCGGCGUGCUUAACACAUGCAAGUCGAACGCUGAAGCCCUUUCGGGGGUGGAUGAGUGGCGAACGGGUGAGUAACACGUGGGUAAUCUGCCCUGCACUCUGGGAUAAGCCUUGGAAACGGGGUCUAAUACCGGAUAGGACACAUCGCCGCAUGGUGUGUGUGUGGAAAGUUCCGGCGGUGCAGGUUGAGCCCGCGGCCUAUCAGCUUGUUGGUGGGGUGAUGGCCUACCAAGGCGACGACGGGUAGCCGGCCUGAGAGGGUGACCGGCCACACUGGGACUGAGACACGGCCCAGACUCCUACGGGAGGCAGCAGUGGGGAAUAUUGCACAAUGGACGACAGUCUGAUGCAGCGACGCCGCGUGGAGGAAGGCGCCUUUCGGGGUGUAAACUCCUUUUUUAGGGGACGAUUGUGACGGUACCCUAAGAAUAAGAGCCUGCUAACUACGUGCCAGCAGCCGCGGUAA